Molecule: ribosomal RNA, 765 nt
Filed under: uncultured bacterium
Lineage: Bacteria
Description: bacterial SSU rRNA
Rfam family: Bacterial small subunit ribosomal RNA
Source: RNAcentral
CUGGCGGAAUGCUUUACACAUGCAAGUCGAGCGGCAGCGCGGGGGCAACCCUGGCGGCGAGCGGCGAACGGGUGAGUAACACAUCGGAACGUACCCUGUCGUGGGGGAUAACACAUCGAAAGAUGUGCUAAUACCGCAUACGACCUGAGGGUGAAAGCGGGGGACCGUAAGGCCUCGCGCGACAGGAGCGGCCGAUGUCGGAUUAGCUAGUUGGUGGGGUAAAGGCUCACCAAGGCGACGAUCCGUAGCUGGUCUGAGAGGACGACCAGCCACACUGGAACUGAGACACGGUCCAGACUCCUACGGGAGGCAGCAGUGGGGAAUUUUGGACAAUGGGGGCAACCCUGAUCCAGCCAUUCCGCGUGAGUGAAGAAGGCCUUCGGGUUGUAAAGCUCUUUCGGCAGGAACGAAACGGUGGAGGCUAAUAUCCUUCAUCAAUGACGGUACCUGAAGAAGAAGCACCGGCUAACUACGUGCCAGCAGCCGCGGUAAUACGUAGGGUGCGAGCGUUAAUCGGAAUUACUGGGCGUAAAGCGUGCGCAGGUGGUUUUGUAAGACAGAUGUGAAAUCCCCGGGCUUAACCUGGGAACUGCGUUUGUGACUGCAAGACUAGAGUGCGGCAGAGGGGGGUGGAAUUCCACGUGUAGCAGUGAAAUGCGUAGAGAUGUGGAGGAACACCGAUGGCGAAGGCAGCCCCCUGGGUCGACACUGACGCUCAUGCACGAAAGCGUGGGUAGCAAACAGGAUUAGAUACCCUGGUAGUCC